CCAAUAGCGUAUAUUAAAGUUGUUGCAGUUAAAAAGCUCGUAGUUGAAUUUCGGGAUCAAGUCGUCGGUCGUGCCUCGGUACGCACUGGUGACAUUGGUUUCUCCCUUCUGAAGAACCUUGAUGUCAUUAAUUUGGUGUCUUGGGGAAUCAGGACUGUUACUUUGAAAAAAUUAGAGUGUUUAAAGCAGGCUCACGCUUGAAUACAUUAGCAUGGAAUAAUGAAAUAGGACGUUUGAUUCUAUUUUGUUGGUUUCUAGGAUCGACGUAAUGAUUAAUAGGGAUAGUUGGGGGCAUUAGUAUUCAAUUGUCAGAGGUGAAAUUCUUGGAUUUAUUGAAGACUAACUACUGCGAAAGCAUUUGCCAAGGAUGUUUUCAUUAAUCAAGAACGAAAGUUAGGGGAUCGAAGACGAUCAGAUACCGUCGUAGUCUUAACCAUAAACUAUGCCGACUAGGGAUCGGAUGAUGUUAAUUUUUUAAUGACUCAUUCGGCGCCUUACG
Molecule: non-coding RNA, 499 nt
Filed under: uncultured Glomus
Lineage: Eukaryota; Fungi; Glomeromycota; Glomeromycetes; Glomerales; Glomeraceae
Also listed under: 1 other name
Description: SSU rRNA
Rfam family: Eukaryotic small subunit ribosomal RNA
Source: RNAcentral